AUUGAACGCUGGCGGCAGGCCUAACACAUGCAAGUCGAACGAGUGGCGGACGGGUGAGUAAUGUCUGGGAAACUGCCUGAUGGAGGGGGAUAACUACUGGAAACGGUAGCUAAUACCGCAUACCAUCAGAUGUGCCCAGUGGGGAUUAGCUAGUUGGGGGGGUAACGGGUCCCCAAGGCGACGAUCCCUAGCUGGUCUGAGAGGAUGACCGGCAAACCUGGAACUGGGACACGGUCCAGACGCCUACGGGAGGCAGCAGUGGGGAAUAUUGCACAAUGGGCGCAAGCCUGAUGCAGCCAUGCCGGGUGUAUGAAGAAGGCCUUCGGGUUGUAAAGUACUUUCAGCGGGGAGGCGUUACCCGCAGAAGAAGCACCGGCUAACUCCGUGCCAGCAGCCGCGGUAAUAC
This 406-nucleotide ribosomal RNA is filed under the name uncultured bacterium. RNAcentral's name for it is "partial 16S ribosomal RNA". It matches the Rfam family "Bacterial small subunit ribosomal RNA", at positions 29 to 526 of the family's 1533-position model. The record is from RNAcentral.